UUGACUGCGAGCGUGACGGCGCGAGCAGGUGCGAAAGCAGGUCAUAGUGAUCCGGUGGUUCUGAAUGGAAGGGCCAUCGCUCAACGGAUAAAAGGUACUCCGGGGAUAACAGGCUGAUACCGCCCAAGAGUUCAUAUCGACGGCGGUGUUUGGCACCUCGAUGUCGGCUCAUCACAUCCUGGGGCUGAAGUAGGUCCCAAGGGUAUGGCUGUUCGCCAUUUAAAGUGGUACGCGAGCUGGGUUUAGAACGUCGUGAGACAGUUCGGUCCCUAUCUGCCGUGGGCGCUGGAGAACUGAGGGGGGCUGCUCCUAGUACGAGAGGACCGGAGUGGACGCAUCACUGGUGUUCGGGUUGUCAUGCCAAUGGCACUGCCCGGUAGCUAAAUGCGGAAGAGAUAAGUGCUGAAAGCAUCUAAGCACGAAACUUGCCCCGAG
This 435-nucleotide ribosomal RNA is filed under the name Salmonella enterica. Its description in RNAcentral is "partial 23S ribosomal RNA". It matches the Rfam family "Bacterial large subunit ribosomal RNA", at positions 2369 to 2803 of the family's 2925-position model. Lineage: Bacteria; Pseudomonadati; Pseudomonadota; Gammaproteobacteria; Enterobacterales; Enterobacteriaceae. The record is from RNAcentral.